Molecule: ribosomal RNA, 377 nt
Filed under: uncultured eukaryote
Lineage: Eukaryota
Description: partial 18S ribosomal RNA
Rfam family: Eukaryotic small subunit ribosomal RNA
Source: RNAcentral
CAAUAGCGUAUAUUUAAGUUGCUGCAGUUAAAAAGCUCGUAGUUGGAUUUCGGGUGGGAAUGGCCGGUCCGCCGUUUAGGUGUGCACUUGCUACGCCCACCUUGCUGCCGGGGACGUGCGCUUGAGUUCACGCUCGGGACACGGAGUCGGCGAGGUUACUUUGAGUAAAUUAGAGUGUUCAAAGCAGGCCUACGCUCUGAAUACAUUAGCAUGGAAUAACACGAUAGGACUCUGGCCUAUCUUGUUGGUCUGUAGGACCGGAGUAAUGAUUAAGAGGGACAGUCGGGGGCAUUCGUAUUUCAUUGUCAGAGGUGAAAUUCUUGGAUUUAUGAAAGACGAACUACUGCGAAAGCAUUUGCCAAGGAUGUUUUCAUUAA